UCGGAUCCCAGCUUAGUUGCAACUUGCAACCGGGAACUAUACCUACUUUACCCUUCAAACUGGAAUAGAUGCAGGUUUUUGUGUACAGUCGCUUGCAUGCAUCAUCCAUCAUAGCGUUGAGAGAGAAUGGCGAUUGCGGGUAAAGUAGGAGACUGGGCGUUCAAAGCGUUCACGGCGGGGCUGGGCGUCGCCACUAUAUAUCUCACCGCCACUUUCUCCGUUAACGUGUACAGAGGACUUGCCUGGCACAACGCCCAAUCAAAAAUUGACAAGGAGAAAUCUCAAGAGCAAAACCAGUGAGGGUAGUUCCCUUUGUGGCCAAACAUUUUCAACUUUGUUUCUCUUAAAUAUUACAAUGUAACCUUUUAUUUUCUCUCUCAUAUUGAUUUUUUAACCCUUCAAUGGUUUAUGUAUGAACCCAGACGUGAUACGUCUGGUAUAGUAACUUUAGUUGAUACCAUUUACGAUUUUAUGGAACCCUGAUAAAACGCUGCUAAUGUAUGGUUUUGGUUAUUAGUUUCUUUUUGUUCAGGAAGCAGCCUUUUUUAGAUUCUUUUGGAUGCCAUGCAACUAUUCUCCGUACCUGUGUUUUCUGUAGCUUAUAAGAAGUUUUCACAUUAAUAGAUCAGUUUUUGCAGAACCA
Molecule: long non-coding RNA, 643 nt
Organism: Nelumbo nucifera (sacred lotus)
Lineage: Eukaryota; Viridiplantae; Streptophyta; Magnoliopsida; Proteales; Nelumbonaceae
Source: RefSeq, a predicted model, not a curated record